Molecule: unclassified non-coding RNA, 354 nt
Filed under: soil metagenome
Description: partial contains 5.8S ribosomal RNA, internal transcribed spacer 2, and large subunit ribosomal RNA
Rfam family: 5.8S ribosomal RNA (bases 1-120)
Source: RNAcentral
GAUGAAGAACGCAGCGAAAUGCGAUAAGUAAUGUGAAUUGCAGAAUUCAGUGAAUCAUCGAAUCUUUGAACGCACAUUGCGCCCGCCAGUAUUCUGGCGGGCAUGCCUGUCCGAGCGUCAUUUCAACCCUCGAACCCCUCCGGGGGGUCGGCGUUGGGGAUCGGCCCUGCCUCUUGGCGGUGGCCGUCUCCGAAAUACAGUGGCGGUCUCGCCGCAGCCUCUCCUGCGCAGUAGUUUGCACACUCGCAUCGGGAGCGCGGCGCGUCCACAGCCGUUAAACACCCAACUUCUGAAAUGUUGACCUCGGAUCAGGUAGGAAUACCCGCUGAACUUAAGCAUAUCAAUAGCGGAGGA